UAGCAUCUUAUAUUUUAAAACAUUAAUAUUUAAAAUAUAAAUACAUUUCCUUGGCCUUAAUGUAUUAAGACUAAUUUAAUUUAAUAUAAGCCUUUUGUGGAUAAAAUAUUUACUCUGAAUUAAUAUCUGGCUGAAUCUAUUGCCAUGGUAGAGGUGAUGUAUUAUGUCACUUGGGAGGCUUUCAAACCUCAAGUAUUGUAGACUCAAGUUAAGUACUGAGUUCUGUGUAAUCUUACUUAGUUCUGCCACUUAUAGAUUGGACCCCUAAUCCUAGCUGGCUAAUUAAACUGACAGGGACUGCAAAUCCAAUCUCGGCUAAAGCCAAUGUGUCUCUGAGAGAUGGGAAAAUGCCAGAAAUUAUUUAGAACCUUGACAGUCUGGAUUCAAACCUGAGCAUGGGACAGAAACUACAUUAAUUACUCAUUGUUGACCUAUGGAGGGGCUUGGAUGGAAGUGGUAUGAUCAUCCCCCUAGAUGUUUUUUCAGCUGCUUUUAAUACUGUUGACUACAGGCAGCCUUUGGAUUAUGACCAUUUGUUCAGCAACUGUUCAAAGUCAUGUUAGUGCUGAACAAGUAGUACUUGAAACCAGUCCUCGAAGUUCCAGCCAUUGCAACACCCCUGAGGUCAUAUCAUGAUUUGGAUGCUUGGCAAUCAGCUCACACAAUAGUUGCAGCGUCCCACGAUCAGGAUGGCCAUUUGCAACCUUUCCUGUUGGCUUCCCACAAGCAAAAUCAAUGGAAAAUCCAGUAGGGUUGCUUAUCUCUGAGAUCACCAGUUGGCUUUUGGCUGAAGUUAAUGUUUUGAAACUAAAAACACUUAUUGUGGUAACCAUUAUUUGACAGUCCACAACACACUUGAUAUUUCACACUCCCAAACAUGUAAAAUGUACUGAGCUUUUAAAAAAAGAAUGAAAAGGUAGACAAUUCUAGCCCAAUUCACUUAAAGCAGUACUCACUCUUCUAUUGAAUUUUAAAACCUAUUGCUCAAAGAUCUUGUUGCUCAUUUCCUCCUUCUCUUUCCUAUCUAUUGAAAAAAAAAUAGUGAACAUGAACUUUGGCUAUAGUUUUUGGCAAAUUUGGUUGGUGUUAAUAAUCGUACACACUGAUAGCAGAACAUACAAAGGAUUGACAGGUUCUACCGUAGUAAGAAAACUCAAGGAGCACAGUGAGAAAAUGAGACUAAAAUUAAAGGCAACCGAACUAAUGAUUACAGGUACAACUUAGCUUAAAAUGUAUAAUGAAGAUAUCAAAGUAGUAAAUAUCUUCAGCCUUUUAGGAUCAGCUGUUAAUAAGGGAACAAGCUGUCAAGAAAUAUUCUCCAAACUAGCAGUUGGUAGAAAAUUCAGGAAGCCCUUGGAAAAGACAUUUAGAUGCUGUGAAUUGCAUCUAUACCUACAAAAAUCAUAUAAAUGCAAGCAUAAUAUUCCUUGUGACAUUCUAUGGAAGUAAAAGUUGGACUUCGAUGAAGCAAGGUAGAAAGACUAUUAAUGCUUUUGGUGUUGAGAAGAUUUCUAAAUAUUAUAUACAGCUAAGGAAACAAACUGAUGGAUCGUAGAAAAAAAUCAACUCAGAGUUCUCACUCAAAAUACGAAUGAUCAGGGUCAAAUUAUCAUACUUUGGAUACAUUAUGUGAAGCCCUAGUUCUCUGGAGAAGCCUCUGAGGCAGUGAAAGGUGGAAGAAAAGAGAAAAAGAAGAGGACCAACAGUAUGAUGGAUGAACUUAAUUACCCUGAUGAUGAAUGAAUGAACCAUUAACCUGAAGGACUGAGUUAGAGACAGAACGUGAUGGAGAAAAUCUGUGUGGUUGCUGAAAAUUGACACCAAACUUGAUGGCACAUAAUCAACCAAUCACUAAUGGUAGUGCUUGAAUAACCUGGUGUUCUCUGAAUAUAUGGAACAUAACUCCCAUCAUCACUAGACAACAUGAAAAUGCCGGGAUUUACAGUUCCCCAUAUAUGAAGGUCCUUAGAUUGGGAUAAAAUGCUUUAGUUAAUCUGUAAUUGUGAAUGGAUUUCAAUUUCAUUCAUGCUUUUUAAAAUGAUGUGACUCACUUUGUAAAAUAACAGAAAAUGUUUUGUUUACAAGUGUCAAUUACGAUAUGAUAAUAUUUUCUACAUCACAUAAGUUUUAGUUUAUGCAAAAUAAAUGCUAGUAUGUUAGCCUUUAAUUGCUUCUACUCCUGCUCCUACUAACAUGCGGAAAGGAUGUUAUAUAUAGAUCAUAAUAUUUUAAACCUGCAAGUCUGACAUUCUGGCAUUCAUUUGUAAAAAGGUCUCUGGCUUCAUUUUGGAAUUGUCU
Non-coding RNA from Notechis scutatus (mainland tiger snake), 2298 nucleotides. The record is from RefSeq and is a predicted model, not a curated record. Lineage: Eukaryota; Metazoa; Chordata; Lepidosauria; Squamata; Elapidae.